Molecule: ribosomal RNA, 404 nt
Filed under: Acidobacteriota bacterium
Lineage: Bacteria; Pseudomonadati; Acidobacteriota
Description: Acidobacteria bacterium partial 16S ribosomal RNA
Rfam family: Bacterial small subunit ribosomal RNA
Source: RNAcentral
UGGGGAAUAUUGGACAAUGGGGGAAACCCUGAUCCAGCAAUGCCGCGUGGGUGAUGAAGGCCUUAGGGUUGUAAAGCUCUUUCGACGGGGACGAUGAUGACGGUACCCGUAGAAGAAGCCCCGGCUAACUUCGUGCCAGCAGCCGCGGUAAGACGAAGGGGGCUAGCGUUGUUCGGAAUUACUGGGCGUAAAGCGCGCGUAGGCGGUCUUUCAAGUCAGGAGUGAAAGCCCCGGGCUCAACCCGGGAAUAGCUCUUGAUACUGUUGGACUUGAGUCCGGGAGAGGAUAGUGGAAUUCCCAGUGUAGAGGUGAAAUUCGUAGAUAUUGGGAAGAACACCAGUGGCGAAGGCGGCUAUCUGGACCGGUACUGACGCUGAGGCGCGAAAGCGUGGGGAGCAAACAGG